This 494-nucleotide ribosomal RNA is filed under the name uncultured bacterium. Its description in RNAcentral is "partial 16S ribosomal RNA". It matches the Rfam family "Bacterial small subunit ribosomal RNA", at positions 28 to 507 of the family's 1533-position model. The record is from RNAcentral.
GACGAACGCUGGCGGCGUGCUUAACACAUGCAAGUCGAACGGUGAAGCGCCUUCCUUUUUGGUGGGUGUGGAUGAGUGGCGAACGGGUGAGUAACACGUGAGUAACCUGCCCCCUUCUUCUGGAUAACCGCAUGAAAGUGUGGCUAAUACGGGAUAUUCUGGGUCUGUCGCAUGAUGGGUCUGGGAAAGAUAUUGUUUCGGUGGGGGAUGGGCUCGCGGCCUAUCAGCUUGUUGGUGGGGUGAUGGCCUACCAAGGCGGUGACGGGUAGCCGGCAUGAGAGGGUGGACGGUCACACUGGGACUGAGACACGGCCCAGACUCCUACGGGAGGCAGCAGUGGGGAAUAUUGCACAAUGGGCGCAAGCCUGAUGCAGCGACGCCGCGGGAGGGAUGGAGGCCUUCGGGUUGUGAACCUCUUUCGCCAGUGAAGCAGGCCUGCCUCGUUUGUGGGUGGGUUGACGGUAGCUGGAUAAGAAGCGCCGGCUAACUACGUG